UGCACCGCCGACCGACCUUG
RNAcentral lists this small RNA (20 nucleotides) under Arabidopsis thaliana (thale cress). RNAcentral describes it as "snRNA_09115". Lineage: Eukaryota; Viridiplantae; Streptophyta; Magnoliopsida; Brassicales; Brassicaceae. The record is from RNAcentral.